This is a non-coding RNA of Macaca mulatta (Rhesus monkey), 3328 nucleotides long. The record is from RefSeq and is a predicted model, not a curated record. Lineage: Eukaryota; Metazoa; Chordata; Mammalia; Primates; Cercopithecidae.
GGGGCUCUGACUUUCAAUUCAAAUUCCAUCUGUGCUACAAGCUUAUUAUCUUUGGGUUGCUAAGUUUAUUUCCUCCUAUGUAAAAUGGAAAUAAAUAACAUCUUCUAUCUCAUAAACUAUGAGGAUUAGCUGAGACUUUUGUGAAAGUGCUCGGCACAUUUCUUGAUAUAUAGCUCAGUACAAUGAAUGUUUGCAGUUUUUGCUACCACUGUUAUCACAGAUUUUUAAAAGUCUGAUGUGGUGAUCCACAUGUUUCAAGACAGUCAUAUUUUAGAGGUCAACCUGGGUGAAAGGAAAGCAUUGAGAAGCGGGUCCAGGGAGGUGCUACUGCUCUGAGAACUCAAGAAUCGUGCAGGUGAGCAGGUGUGAAUGAAGACCCCAGCUUCCGACUUAAUGACAAAGAUGGUUUAUAUGCAGUAAUUUUAUAAAAUAAAGGAAGAAAAACAAGUUUGACUCCAUGUGGUCCAGGCAAGGGCUAGGAUAAACAAUGUGAAAAUGCCGGGUCAUUUGUUACUAUUGAUUUAUGUUUUGGGGGAUGGUGUGGUAAUUGCUCUUGCUUUGUGUGCCUGGUGUUUCCUAGAAGCUGUGAUGCUAACGGGAGGUGGGAGAAUUCAAUACGGAUCAAGAUAAUUGAAAGCGAGUUUUGCAGAGAGAGCCAAGUGGUAUAGAGUGGCCUCCUUUGUGCUGUUUUCAGCGUGGGAAUGUGCAUUUGCUUAUAAUUUAAUGAAAAUGCCCAUGAAGACAAAUGAUGCAGUGCCAAAUUUUUAGCAAAUUUCCUAAGUGUUAGAGACUUUGAAAUUAGACUGAAGGGCUUACAUAAUCAUUAAUUUGGUUGCAAGGUUGCAACUUCGAUUGUCUAGUAAAAAUGCCAAUUGGCCAAUCCAGAAAUGUGGCUAACCUUUCACAGAGUCCUCAAACACUUCCUAAAACUGGCGAUGCUAUUGAGACUAUAAGAAUAUCACAGUUUAGUCAAAACUCUGCAACUAUUUUAUGAUAAAUUUAUGUUUAUAAGUGUCAGUUUUUUUCAUUCACAAACUAAAAGCAUUGAGCACUAGGCCAAUGGCAAGCCCCCUUCAGGGUCUGAUUAAAUAAUAUGGUUUGUCCCCCAUAAUAAAACACAUAUGCACAUGUGUUUAAUUUCAAGGGUUCUGAGUCUCUUAGAACCUUUGGUUAAAUUAUCAUAAGAGUUUCUUAUAAUUCUGAGAUCAAGGGCCAAUAUAUUUUCUUAGGAAAAAUUUAAUGAUCCUUUUCGUUUUCCCCGAGUUAAACAAUCAAACAGUACAAAUUAAUUUCAUUUUCUUGUUCUCACAUCUUGCAAAAUCUAUUGCAAUGGAUGUUUGCUUUCAUCUUCUAACAUUUUCUCUGAAACUAUUACUAACAAAGAAUGAAGUAUAGUACAUUCUAAUAGUGUUGUAAGCCUUGCUUCAUGAAAGAGUGAAUUUUGAGCGAAGAUGACAUGUUGCAUAAUUUUGCUAUGUCUACACAAAUGAAUGGUAUAAAACUUUUGGCUUGGGUGAGAGGGUAUUGUGCAGUACAAUCUGAAUUGUAAGUGUUGUUUAAUACAGGGGACUUUGUAUCUGCUUUGGGUGUUCUCAGGGGACAAAAAUGUCAAUUUUCCUUUUUAGAAAGGAAUCAGUUGGAGAGAAUGAUGUUUGCAAAAGUAGGGUCCACUCAUCACUAUCCUAGAUUCAAGUCCCUUUUAGACACAGAUAGACCCUGGGCAGAAUAGCACUGACGAGGCUGUUUCCUAAUGCCCAUGCUGCAGAGUCCCUGUGUGAUGGCUCCCUAGCACUUGGGCUCCCCGUUACUUGCAACGAACCUGCUCAGCUCUUCAGAGGAUUUCUGCUGGGCCUUGUCACUCUCCUUGACCUCAGCUCAUAGUAAGCUGGCUUCUAAGGAGCUUGCUUCAAUGCAGGGGCACUGCUAGUUUUGCCAGGUCAGGUGUUAACACCUGGGAAAGGUCAGGCUACCAUGAGGCUUUGUGUUUUAGUCUGAAGGAUCUUACCACGUGGUGGAAUGCGGUGGGUGUUGGCUUAGGCAUGACCGACUCUCAGAAGGUCACGUGCUUGGAGCAGAGCAGAGGACAUUUCCCACUUCUACACUCCAGAUGGUUUUGGCCUUGCUGGAAGAGGUCACAAAGUGGCUUUGGAAUUCACUCACACAACAGGAGGGCACUUUGCACAGGUGGAGAAUGUGUCCUGAGGACCUAAGCCUAAGAAUCUUCAAGAUGGAAGAGUAGAGUGAGCAACGAAUGAGCCAGAGGGCUCUUGUCCUCUGUGUGCAGCUCUGGGCAGCCAGCAGGUGGAUAUGGGACUUGGCCUGCUGGAGGGGCCCUGGCAAGAGGAGCUGGCAGGAGCAGAUGGCAAAGGUCAUUAUUAGUAUUCUUUUCAUUCAUGAUUAUUACUAAAAAUGAUGUGGCACAGAAGGGCAGGGUGUUAACAAAUGACUCGUCAACAGAGCCAGAUGCAUGGGGUAGGGCUGCUGGGAAGGCCCAUGGUGAGGCAGGUGAGGCUGAACUGUUUGGGUAGGAGCCAGAUGCUGGAGACCCCUGGACCUUCCCUUCCACAACUCCUUGCAGCCCUGAGCUCUUCUGAGGAGCACAAGAAAGCAUCUCUGACCCUUGGAGACAUUCUACAAAUAUUAGAGUCCCCUUUCAGCUAUGACCUGACUUGCUACCUCCGCCCGCAUCAAAACCACCAUCAUUCCUCUCCGCAAAAACGUCCAGACUGGUUUUCUACUUCCACUCUUAUUCACCAUGGCAGUUAGACUAAUGUUAAAAGUGCGUCACAUUUGUUCACCUCCUGCCUCAACACCCUUGGAUGACUGCAUCCCUUCACUCUGGGAGUCAACUCCAGCAUCUUAUUUUGGCUGUCAGCCUUCCUGCCUGUCUUGGGCAUCUUACCUCUGCCCUGGGUUCUGCACUGUCACUGUAAUGCACCAAGCUCACUUCUGUCUUAGGGCAUGGCACUUCUGUUCCCUCUACUUGGACUGUUUUACCCCUGAAUCACCGUGUGACCCAGUCCUCAGCCCACUCAGAUUGUGCUCCAGUGUUCCCCUUCCCAGAGACAUUACUGGCUAAACCAACCUAUGUUCCCCAACUCUCAGCUCUUGAUCCUGCUGCCGUUUGUUUCAUAACCCUUAGCAUUACCCAAUGCUUCAUUUAUUUAUGCUUUCUUUACUGAUUUAUAGAUUGACUCUCUCACCCACUAGAAACUGAGCAUCAGGGGGCAGGGGACAGCUUUUUUCUUGAUCGCCUCCUUAAUCUCAGAUCCUAGAAAAGUGUCUGGUGCAUCAUGGACACUCAAUAAAAACUUGUUAAACUAUUGAA